UACGUAGGUGGCAAGCGUUGUCCGGAUUUACUGGGUGUAAAGGGUGCGCAGGCGGGAUAGCAAGUCAGCUGUGAAAACUCCGGGCUUAACCUGGAGACUGCAGUUGAAACUGUUGUUCUUGAGUGAAGCAGAGGUAGGCGGAAUUCCGAGUGUAGCGGUGAAAUGCGUAGAUAUUCGGAGGAACACCAGUGGCGAAGGCGGCCUACUGGGCUUUAACUGACGCUGAGGCACGAAAGCAUGGGGAG
Molecule: ribosomal RNA, 245 nt
Filed under: uncultured Oscillospiraceae bacterium
Lineage: Bacteria; Bacillati; Bacillota; Clostridia; Eubacteriales; Oscillospiraceae
Description: partial 16S ribosomal RNA
Rfam family: Bacterial small subunit ribosomal RNA
Source: RNAcentral